GUGACCUCAAAUCAGGUAGGACUACCCGCUGAACUUAAGCAUAUCAAUAAGCGGAGGAAAAGAAACUAACAAGGAUUCCCCUAGUAACUGCGAGUGAAGCGGGAAAAGCUCAAAUUUAAAAUCUGGCGGCCUUUUUGCUGUCCGAGUUGUAAUCUAGAGAAGUGUUAUCCGCGCUGGACCGUGUACAAGUCUCCUGGAAUGGAGCAUCAUAGAGGGUGAGAAUCCCGUCUUUGACAUGGACUACCAGGGCUUUGUGAUGCGCUCUCAAAGAGUCGAGUUGUUUGG
Molecule: ribosomal RNA, 285 nt
Filed under: uncultured Cortinarius
Lineage: Eukaryota; Fungi; Basidiomycota; Agaricomycetes; Agaricales; Cortinariaceae
Description: partial 28S ribosomal RNA
Rfam family: Eukaryotic large subunit ribosomal RNA
Source: RNAcentral